AAGGAAAGUUAGUAACAAAAAUAGAUUUCUAACCUAUAUUUGAGGAGUUAACUUCUCCUCUUUCCUUU
This 68-nucleotide transfer RNA is filed under the name Travisia sanrikuensis. RNAcentral's name for it is "tRNA-Ser". Lineage: Eukaryota; Metazoa; Annelida; Polychaeta; Opheliidae. The record is from RNAcentral.